UAAGUGCAUUCCGAGCUUACGUCAGAUCACGGUCCCAAAGACCGGUCAAGUCUGGUAGUAAAAUGGUAACAAAUAUUUGCCAUUUCAAGUAGAGAUAACCCUAGAUAAAUCACGGCCAGUUCGCGACUAAACUAAGCUACCACUGCUUAGUUGCCCACUCCGCGUCUUUCAAGCUAAACAAUCGGCGUAAAUACAUUACUUUUCUUAUUUUGCAAGCUCGGAAAGCGCUCGUCUAGCAGGGAACCGCCUCUACGUGUAGCUUGCUCAACAACAGGCUGCUCAGACCUGGGUUCAAAGGGUUGAGCCUGUCUAGACGAUAAAACCAGGCCGUCGACGUUGAACGGCCGGCGUGGCGGCCAUUCCACCUGAAACUAUAAGAUGUUUUAGUCCUGUUGGUUAUAUGGUCGAAGUCGAGUCCUACCAGAUAAACAUGAGUAUUUAAUGUCCUUUUAAAUUGAGAGAGCCGAUGUCUACUUAGUUCUAGAUUCACUAUUUUCAAGCAAGCUUAAUGAAACCAAAAGCGGAAACUUCACAAACAAUUCGUGAGAGCUCAAUGGGGAAGCCAACAAUCAUGCUGAACCCUUGUAUCCAUCCAUGAGCAGCUGUGAAAGACAACACCAGUCAACUUGAAAAAAAAAACAAUUAUAGGGGUCGAAGUGAGUGCUACCCGUUGUGUUGGAAGAUACGGUACAAGUGAUGUCUCCGCCCUAUUUCGACGCUUAUAUUAAGUCACGUCGAGAAACAAGUUUCUACUGAAACAGGUAAACACUGCCUUCAGAGAAGACAAAUCACGAAACUCAAACGUACCGAAAGCUGAUUCUUAUCUCUAGAGGUUGUAUUACUAAAUAUUCAUAGAAGACAAACAUCACAUCACUGAAACAUGGAGGAAGCCAAUUCUUGUUUUUAGGAGGGUCCACUUCUAAAUUUUAUCUUCAGAGAAGACAAACAUCACGCCACUUAAACAUGGAGAAAGCAAAUUCUUAUCUUCAGAGAAGACAAAAAUCACACCACUGAAAAAUGGAGGAAGCUAAUUCCUGUUUAUAGGAGGGU
This is a long non-coding RNA of Limulus polyphemus (Atlantic horseshoe crab), 1050 nucleotides long. RefSeq lists it as uncharacterized. The transcript has 3 exons. The record is from RefSeq and is a predicted model, not a curated record. NCBI's taxonomy places the organism in Eukaryota, Metazoa, Arthropoda, Merostomata, Xiphosura, Limulidae.